CCGGGGUGGAGGUAACACGUAAGGAACCUACCGAUAANCGGGGGACGAACAUCCGGAAAACCGGGGUAGGCUAAUACCGCAUAGGAAGUUUGUUCGCAUGAACAAACUUAGAAAGAUGGCUCUGCUAUCACUUAUCGAUGGCCUUGCGGUGCAUUAACUAGUUGGCGAGGUAACGGCUCACCAAGGUGAUGAUGCAUAGCCGACCUGAGAGGGUAAUCGGCCACAUUGGGACUGAGACACGGCCCAAACUCCUACGGGAGGCAGCAGGG
This 269-nucleotide ribosomal RNA is filed under the name uncultured Aerococcus sp. RNAcentral describes it as "partial 16S ribosomal RNA". It matches the Rfam family "Bacterial small subunit ribosomal RNA", at positions 100 to 354 of the family's 1533-position model. The record is from RNAcentral. Lineage: Bacteria; Bacillati; Bacillota; Bacilli; Lactobacillales; Aerococcaceae.